This 498-nucleotide ribosomal RNA is filed under the name uncultured bacterium. RNAcentral's name for it is "partial 16S ribosomal RNA". It matches the Rfam family "Bacterial small subunit ribosomal RNA", at positions 28 to 507 of the family's 1533-position model. The record is from RNAcentral.
GACGAACGCUGGCGGCGUGCCUAAUACAUGCAAGUCGAACGAGAGCGCCCGGUGCUUGCACUGGUCAAUCUAGUGGCGAACGGGUGAGUAACACGUGGGUAACCUGCCCAUCAGAGGGGGAUAACAUCCGGAAACGGAUGCUGAAACCGCAUAGGUCUUCGAGCCGCAUGGCUUGAAGAGGAAAAGAGGCGCAAGCUUCUGCUGAUGGAUGGACCCGCGGUGCAUUAGCUAGUUGGUGAGGUAACGGCUCACCAAGGCCGUGAUGCAUAGCCGACCUGAGAGGGUGAUCGGCCACAUUGGGACUGAGACACGGCCCAAACUCCUACGGGAGGCAGCAGUAGGGAAUCUUCCGCAAUGGACGCAAGUCUGACGGAGCAACGCCGCGUGAGUGAAGAAGGUUUUCGGAUCGUAAAACUCUGUUGUUAGAGAAGAACAAGUGCUAGAGUAACUGUUAGCGCCUUGACGGUAUCUAACCAGAAAGCCACGGCUAACUACGUG